AAUUUUUUGUUAAAAUAUUUACGGUUGUGGCUUUUUAUUGCAUCUUUUCGUUAAAUUAUUUAUUGUUAUCUUUUUUGACAGUUAUGUUUUUUCAACUACAGUCAUAUCUUUUCAGUUUAGGGUUGUGUUUUUUUAUCGCAUCAUUUUGCU
Molecule: small RNA, 150 nt
Filed under: Arabidopsis thaliana (thale cress)
Lineage: Eukaryota; Viridiplantae; Streptophyta; Magnoliopsida; Brassicales; Brassicaceae
Description: ATSL207910
Source: RNAcentral